This 305-nucleotide unclassified non-coding RNA is filed under the name Hevea brasiliensis (rubber tree). The record is from RNAcentral. Lineage: Eukaryota; Viridiplantae; Streptophyta; Magnoliopsida; Malpighiales; Euphorbiaceae.
GGCGGAGCGGCGGUCGGGGUUCGCGGACGGGGGGGCGGCGCUCGGCAGCAUGGCGGACGACCUGGACUUCGAGACCGGCGACGCGGGCGCCUCGGCCACGUUCCCCAUGCAGUGCUCAGCGCUGCGUAAGAACGGCUUCGUGGUGCUCAAGGGGCGCCCCUGUAAGAUCGUGGAGAUGUCCACCUCCAAGACCGGCAAGCACGGCCACGCCAAGGUGCACCUGGUGGGCAUCGACAUCUUCACAGGGAAGAAGUACGAGGACAUCUGCCCCUCCACCCACAACAUGGACGUCCCCAACAUCAAGC